GUCCCUUAACAUCCAUCCUCCCAUAAUCCAUCCAGGUUUUCUUCCGGGAAAGCUCGGACGCGCUGCAGGAAUGCCUGCAAGAGCAACCAUUGUUUUGUUUUUUUUGUCCGUAACUGAGAAAGAAUAAAAAAAGAGGGCGUCCAUCAGAAGAGGAAGAAGAAUAAGGAGGAGGAGCAGCAGGGAAUCCAGCUGCUGCAGCUAUGGCCGCCAAAGAGAUCACCGUUUUUGGCUUCGCGAGUGUGAACAAGGACAUCACAGACAGUAUCAGGAAGAUCAUCGAGAAAUCAACCAUUAAGUUCAUUUGCGGAAUUAAGACUGACACCAAGAGUGGUAAAACAGAGGACCGGAUACUGGUGCUAACAACGUGGCGUCUCUACUUCCUGGCACCCAAGAUUCCCGCCAAGGUUGAAUCCACAUUUAACUUUUUGGAGAUCCGAGCAUUGAAUUCACACCCAGAUCACCAGGUCAUUAUCGACACUGACAAGUCCACCUGCUGCCUGAGGUUCGAGUCACGUGACCACCUCAACCACGUGGUCAGCCACAUCAAUUAUGCGCUCUCACGGAUAUUCAACAACUCAGUAUUUGCCCCGUCCAUCUGUCAUUCUGAUAGCGACCUUUCAGAGGGCAGCAGGAAGUAUUCGCCCACCUCGGAGACGUCGGUGGAAACCCAGCGGGCCUGUGGAGGCUUUUCAGAAACCUACGCGGCACUGUGCGACUAUAAUGGCAUCAGCUGCAAGGAGGAAGUGCAAUGGGACGUUGACACCAUCUACCAUUCCCAGGACAACCGUCAAUUCAACCUGCUAGACUUUAGCCACCUUGAGAGCAGGGAUCUGGCGGUGAUUGUAGCAUCGGUGGCGUACAACACGUGGUUUACUAAGCUGUACUGCAAAGACCUGCGCUUGGGCUCAGAGGUGACUGAGCAAGUCCUGCACACUGUCAGCAAAUCAUCCAGCCUGGAGGAGAUCACGCUGGAGAACGCUGGGUUGAAAUCAGACUUUCCACAGAAGAUGUCGGCCGCUCUCUCCGAGAACCCCACCGCUGUCAUCCACUCGCUCAACCUGGCGCACAACUCUCUGGACAACCAAGGUGUGGCCAACCUGAUCCAGCAAAUGUGUCAUCUCAGCAAGGGUCUCCGUCUCCUCAACCUCUCCAAGACCUCGCUGACCUCCAAAGGGGUUGUGUCGCUUUCUAUGGCGCUAAACUCCAGUGACGAGUACUCCAACUCGCUUCUGCACCUGGACCUGAGCAAGAACCCCGGCGUCCUGUCCGGGGACGACUCCUCGAGCUUGUAUCUCUUCUUGUCGCAGCCCAACUGCCUGGUGCAUUUGGAUCUGUCGGGCACAGAUUGCUCUGUGGACUCACUAUUUGGGGCUCUUCUGAGGGGCUGUUGCGCUGAUCUCUCCUUUCUGAAUCUUUCCAAAAAUUCCUUCUCCCACAGAAAAGGGAAGGACACGUUGCCGUUGUUCCGUCAGUUCUUCAGCUCCGCGUUCAGUCUCACCCACGUCAGCCUGGCCGGCAUGAAACUGCCCCCUGAUGUUCUCAGGGCUCUCCUCAUGGGCUUAACCUCCAACCCUCACAUCAACGACCUUCAUCUCGACAUCAGCGGCUGUGAACUUCGAUGUGCAGGAGCUGCUGUCCUUCAGGAGCUCUUCCCCAGAGUCUCUUCCAUCGGCACGUUGGACAUCUCAGACAAUGGUUUGGAUGCAGACUUGCUCACAGUGCUGCCCGCCCUCUCCAGGCACCCAUCGCUGAAACACCUUCAUCUCGGCAAGAACUUCAACAUCAAAAACAGGGUUCUGGAUGAAGUCCUGCAGAAGCUGGUGCAGCUCAUACAAGAGGAGGAAUGUGCCCUGCAGACCCUGUCGCUGACCGACUCCCGCCUCCGUUCCCGGGGCACGGUGCUGGUCAAUGCCCUGGGGAGCAACACCUGUCUGAGGAAAGUGGACCUGAGUGGCAAUAACAUGGACGACAUCGGUGCCAAGAUGCUGAGCAAAGCCCUGCAGAUCAACACCACUCUCCGGAGCGUGACAUGGGAUCGCAACAAUACCUCCGCAGCAGGAUUUCUCGACGUGGCCAGAGCACUCGAACAUAAUUUCACCCUGCAGUACAUGCCGCUCCCCCUGAGCGACAUCAGCCAGGCAUACCGCAGCGCCCCCGAGAGGACAGAGCAGGCACUUACCAAGAUCCAGAGGGCUUUGGUGAGGAACAACCAGACUCAGCGUUUCUCCCAGCGUCAGGCUCUUCGGCUGCAUCAAGGCCUCGUCACCAGCACCGCAGAGCAGGUAAUGGAGCGUCUAUGCGCACGCGUUCAGCAGCAAGUGUGCCUACUGCGAGGCGUCGGCGAGGCAGAUGACAUUCAUGCAGCCAAACAAGUGUUAAAGGAGGCCAGGAAUUCCCGCGCGCUGUACCCCUCCCUGUGCGAGUUGGCCCACGUACUCUCCGUGGACGGGCCAGUGCGCCAGCGUUUGGACUCGCUGGCUGGCGAGCUUGCCAAAGCCGCAGACAAGGAGCUCCAGGUGAUCGUUGAAUCGAUGGUGUCUCUCUGCCGUGAGCUCUGUCCCUUAUCAUCUGCCGCGGCGGAGCGACUGACCCCCCCGCUCUCAUCCGUCUCGGAUCGCGUGUCCGUACCUCGUGCCGCCAUCCGCACCGCCCUGAUGGAAAGAGCAGCACAGGAUGUCCACCGAGCCUUAGAAGAAGUCAAACUGUCUGUUGUCUCCUAUCUGACCAACUCAAUCGUGGACCAAAUCCUGCAGGAACUCUAUGCCACCCACAAGACGUUGACCCGCCAGAUGUCUCAUCUCAAACGUCGGGAUGGGUCGUGCGAAGAUGGAACAGGCUGGAGGUUCUACAGACACAGAGACUCUCUUGACAUCACUGAGGAGGAGCUCGGCACCAGUAUAGACACAAUAGCCAUUAAGAAACGCAGCUCGAGAACAAGACGAAUACGACCCGUCUCCACCAGGCUGAGUCUCUGUGAUGACUCCAGUUCCUCGCCGCCCCCUUCCAUCCUGUCCUACUCCACGCCGCUGUCCCGCUCAGCCUCCUGGGAGGGUCUCUCUGAAUUGCCCACGCAAGGUCUGCCUCUCCACCACGUGACCAGGGUCCGCCCGAGACCUCCACGCAGGCACAAAGGAGGAUACCUACCAGCUGAGACGCAUUGUAGUGAAAAUGGAGGAAUUAGCCCGCUGGAUGACGGACUGCCAGAUUUCUAUACUAAAAGAGUCCUACCAGAUAGUCAACUCUCCUCUCUGCACAACACACACUCGCUGAGGAGGAAGAAAAGGAGGAAUGUGCUCGCCAUCUUUGGUUUCCGCAGAAACCGCAACCAGACGCUGUCCAACCAGGAGUCCGACGCUGACUUUUAUGGCGAUCACACCGUUGCUCGUGCAUCAGCAGGGCCGGCCGCAGAGAACGUGUACACACUCCUCCAGCCCCCGAGGUCUGCCGCCAGGGUGGGCUCUCCCGGAAACGGACCCGAUGGGAAAACUACUCUGGCUUUGAGUCCGCCACCACCAUUGCCAGGCUUUCCGCAAUCAGGGAUGGGAGGGAGCAAACACCCCUUUUACUCCCCCACUGAGCACUCCGAAAAGGACGCAGUGCCCGAGCACCCGCUGAUGGAAGCCGACAAGUACUGGGCGGACGACAGGCAGAGGACCACCGAGGUGCUGCAGGCCGAGGACAUGUGGAUGGACAGCAGGCCGGGCGAGCGGCACGCAGAACGGCGGCGCUCGGAUGAGAAGCCGGGAGAGGCGUGGACCGCCGACAGAAACACAGACCGCCAAAUUGACAGACAAUGGACAGCGGAAAGACACACGCAGUGGCAGAUCGAUCGGAAGAUGGAGAGACAGCGGCUAGGCGGCAGGCAGAUCGACCGCUCGUGGUCUGAAGGCAAGCAAACGGACGUGCAGUUGGACAGCCAGUGGACGGAAAGGACUGUGUGGAAGGCGGACAGACAAGUCCAGGCGCUUCAUUUCACUCAAAGGCCUUUGCCGCCGUACCCCUCGGACAGGACGCCCUCGCCCAAACAAGAAAUGAGCGCGGAGCUGGACAUACAGGGAGAGAGACACAUCAAUCCUGAUGCUUGCGUAGAAGGGUGGAGGAGCGGCUACGCCGGGCGACCAAUCUCCUGCGUGGCGAAACCUGAACCCCCACCGCAAAGUAGCAAACCCAACUUAUCCAAACUGAGGCAAAGGCAUAGACUGGAGAGCUCCGACACGCUACCUGAAGAGGAUGCCGAUGGAGAAAGCGAUCCAGCCAAGUUGGACAAGAAGGACCAGGAAAAAAGAAGAGAUUCGGAGGGUCAACCGCCGCCGAUUCCAGAAAAGCCAAAGACGUCAUACGUGACUUUCAUGAAAGACCCGGCUCCGGAGAGGAGCUUGCCCCCUCCACCUUUGCCCCCGCCGUUUGGCAGAUCUGUGCACGGGCUGCCUGACAGAGCUGCCAGUCAAGGCGAAGAAGGAUUGCGACCUCAGGCACCCGUCAAGCCCCAGAGGAACAGAAAAGCCAUGUCGUGCGACGCAGGCACGGACAGGGACAGCCCCGAUAACAUUGAGAAGCCCCCAAAUCGCAAACCCCCCGAAAAAAAGCCUAGAAUGCCUCAAAACAGAAAUAAGUCGCUGGACUUGUCUGACAGUUUCAACACAGCACCCGGUCACAGCGAGCUGGUGUGAUGAUGUCCCGGCAGGGUGGAUAACACACACACAUUCACACACAUUAUUCUGCUCCACUCAUUUAACAGUGUUUGCCUCUUGAAAAGACCCCCUCAAAUCUUUAUCAUCGACCCCGAUCCCGACUCGUGGCUUGUAAAAUGCUUUUUUUUUUAAAAGUAAUAAUAGAAUGUGAUUUCUACGUAUGCAGUGCCCGCCAACACAGCCGACUGCCUUGAAACGACUUGAGGAUUUAUAUCUGAAAGGAACAAUUGUGACUCUGCUGUCUUACUAGCUGCCAAAGGCACGCCAUGGACUUGAGGUCAGGCUCCCCAAUACCAAACCCAUCCUUAAUUGCUGAAUUGGUCAAAUUGUACGCAGACGCAACAGGGGUGAUGGUGCAUCUGUGGACAAUGAGGUAAGUUCCUCUGUGUGGCUCCCACUCUUUUUGUCCCGUGUCCUCGCCGGAGGCCCUGUUGGUUUUGCCGCAAAGCUUUCCUCCGGAAACAGAUAAAGAUAAAGAGGUUAAAACACAAGGGGGUGGAAGUUACGACUAACUGGGACUUUGAGCGGAAAAAUGCUUCUUUGAAAAACAUAUGGGCGGUCUCCUUUUUCAUGAAUCGGCACAGUGUUGCUUGUACAAAUCAGAUUUGUUUAAAAAAAAAAAACAUCAUUAACUGCUUCAUGAGACACUGCUAUCAGACACAGACACACACACACACACACACUCACACACACACACACACGCACCCGCGCGCAAAGACUCCGGAUUAGCAAAUUUGGCGGCCAAAAAUGCUUGUUGUGCAUUUCUCGACUUAGAUGGCUUGUGAAGAAACAGAAUUAAUUGCCAGAUUUUGAGUCUAACAGAUAGAGGCAGGA
Hippocampus zosterae (dwarf seahorse) is the source of this 5525-nucleotide RNA transcript. It is a transcript of the gene named capping protein, Arp2/3 and myosin-I linker protein 3-like, with no coding region annotated. Lineage: Eukaryota; Metazoa; Chordata; Actinopteri; Syngnathiformes; Syngnathidae. The transcript is spliced from 42 exons. The record is from RefSeq and is a predicted model, not a curated record.